This 1215-nucleotide long non-coding RNA is filed under the name Nicotiana tabacum (common tobacco). Its description in RNAcentral is "long non-coding RNA (NTAB_LNC000683)". Lineage: Eukaryota; Viridiplantae; Streptophyta; Magnoliopsida; Solanales; Solanaceae. The record is from RNAcentral.
CCAUCCCCCAUCGGAUCAUCCUCAACACACCCCUCCCCGUCUUCGUCUCCUUCACACACUCUGCCCCAAGUCACCGGACUCAACCCAACUCGCCGGAGUCCCUCCAUAACCGCCAUAACAGACCAUACUCUUCAAAGAACAAACCAUCUUCAACCUCAAAACACCCCCUGAACUUCUACUUCUUCACUCUUGAACAUCCUUUUAAGUAGUCAAAGCCAUCAGCAAAGAACUCCAUCGACCUCAUAUCAGUAGCACUAAACACACACAUAGUCACACACUGAAGCAACAAAGGCAAAAAAGCAGCAAACAAAAAUCGGGGCUGAACAGUGAGGCGUCCCAAAGCAUUUUACAACCUUUUUCUGGCGAGUCUCGAGUUCUUUGGUUGAGUUUUGAUGACUGUUUCCAUUGGUUCUUUGUCGAGGUUCCAUUCGAGGUCGACGACGUUGGUUUCGCAUUCCAUUCACUUCGUAGAUGAUUUGUUGUACAAACUUCCCUUAUCAAUAUAAUCGGAAGGUUUUUUGAGAAAGAAAGCUACCAUCGUCAUAUGCUUUGGUUUGAGNNNNNNNNNNNNNNNNNNNNNNNNNGGACCUAGCCCACAAUUGCCAAGCCCAUAAUUCCUAGGCCCAUACCCUUUAACCUAAAACACUACCACUAACCUAGACCUAGGUAUAUAAAAACAAGCUAACACUAAAGAAUAAAUGAAAGGGAGAAGGCAGAAACACAAAAAAGCUGCGCAGACAAUACACGGACCCAUCCCCCAUCGGAUCAUCCUCAACACACCCCUCCCCGUCUUCGUCUCCUUCACACACUCUGCCCCAAGUCACCGGACUCAACCCAACUCGCCGGAGUCCCUCCAUAACCGCCAUAACAGACCAUACUCUUCAAAGAACAAACCAUCUUCAACCUCAAAACACCCCCUGAACUUCUACUUCUUCACUCUUGAACAUCCUUUUAAGUAGUCAAACCCAUCAGCAAAGAACUCCAUCGACCUCAUAUCAGUAGCACUAAACACACACAUAGUCACACACUGAAGCAACAGAAGCACAAAAGCAGCAAACAAAAAUCGGGGCUGAACAGUGAGGCGUCCCAAAGCGUUUUACAACCUUUUUCUGGCGAGUCUCGAGUUCUUUGGUUGAGUUUUGAUGACUGUUUCCAUUGGUUCUUUGUCGAGGUUCCGUCCGAGUUCGAUGGCGUUGGUUUCGCAUUCCAUUCACU